GUAAUAGCACUGCAUAGCAGAUGACCCGUGAACUUGUUUGUAAUUUGAGUGGGCAACGGGUCUCGCGAGAGCCCCGUUGUCCCCUCCAUGUUGCAUAGGUGUGGGCUUUGAGCUCACGCCAAAUGCAGCGCCGUAACGAACCCCGGCGUGAAAAACGCCAAGGAAGUUGAACAAAAGUGCACUCUACCAUAAGCAUCGAUCGUGAUGCAAAUGGUUGUUGUGCGAUCUUUUACUAUACAACGACUCUCGGCAACGGAUAUCUCGGCUCUCGCAUCGAUGAAGAACGUAGCGAAAUGUGAUACUUGGUGUGAAUUGCAGAAUCCCGUGAAUCAUCGAGUCUUUGAACGCAAGUUGCGCCCCAAGCCUUCGGGCCGAGGGCACGCCUGCCUGGGCGUCACGCAUUGUAGCCCCCCGACCAUUGUCUCUUAGAGUCAGAUGGGUUGUCGAGGUGGCGUAUGUUGGCCUCCCAUGAGCUGAUGCUUGUGGUUGGCCUAAACGCAAGUCUGAGGUAACAAUUUGCCAUGACUAUUGGUGGUUGAGAAGCCCUUUGAAAUAGUCAUGCUUGCUUGUUGAUGUAUCGAGACAUUCAAGACCCCCGAGUGUUGCCAAUGGUAACAAUCGCAUUGCGACCCCUCGUCAAGCGGGAUCUCCAGCUGAGUUUAGCAU
This 666-nucleotide ribosomal RNA is filed under the name Neurada procumbens. RNAcentral's name for it is "eukaryotic LSU rRNA". The stretch from base 242 to 397 matches the Rfam family "5.8S ribosomal RNA". Lineage: Eukaryota; Viridiplantae; Streptophyta; Magnoliopsida; Malvales; Neuradaceae. The record is from RNAcentral.